AAGGUUUGGAAGAAGAUUACAAGACUGACGGGGAGGAGGCAGCCUCAGAUUCAGAGGAGGAGGAUCCUGUAUUCAUUGAAACCGUCAGGAACACCAUUUAUAAUGUGUGCUGUGGAAGAAUUCGGACAGGGAUAUUAAUUGGAACAUUAACAUUGGAAAUGGUUGGGAAAGAGAGCCUGUCUUGUUCUUAAAGAUGUGAUCUUGAAUGUAAACUAAAGAUGUGAAGGCAGCCAGGUUAAAAAGAUGACACAGUUCCUACAGAAUUACAGACAGCUGUGGAAUCUGAAAGUUGAUGCAUAUCUAGAUUGUGGAAGACUACGAGUGAUGCUAUUGUAUCUCAGGAAAUGCAUCGGGCCACACAGGAGUCGAUACUGGAAGAAGACAAAGGAAGGAGGCCACAAAGGAGUCCAUACUGGAAGAAGACAAAGGGAGGAUGCCACACAGGAGUCCAUACUGGAAGAAGACAAAGGGAGGAGGCCAAGGACUGAAAGGCCCUGAUGAUUGCAUGGGUACCUUAGUUGUUCCAAGGAUUCAUCUGCUGGGGACUGGAUAUAUAAUAAUAUUAAAUCAGCACACAGCAACCCCUUUGUAGUAAAUGAGAGAUUCCUGAUUUUUUGCUACUACUUAGAGACCCACAAAGUAUCCAAUCCUCAUUGCUGCCAUUAAAAGUGAUAAAGAAAUCAAAUAUCCUUGCUGACAAUCGAGUUUUGCUUCACAAGGGAUGACUGGAGGAAUGCAGGAGGCAAGUCAGAGAAGGUUCUUGCUGCUGUUUUGAACAACCAGAAGUAUUCAUUCUUUCUUGAUAAUAAGAAUAUAUAGUUGCAGGAGAAGGAUCUUGUGAUAAAGAAAUGUGAUGCCUAGAACUAAUUAAUGAUGGAACUGUUGGUUGUAUCCAGUGAUACUGAGGAACAACAACAACAGCCAGAUUCAUGACGAAGCUCAUGAGACCUUGGGGAAUCAACAGCAAAAAAUGCUGAGCUACAUCAGGUUGCUGUACUUAAAGUUUUGAUAUCAGCAUCACAGUUGAUGACGAUGUUAUAGGGCGAUGGUACAAACAUCAUUGGUAGUGUGAGUAGUGUCAGAGAACACACAAGUAAUGCAUUCACUGCAGUGCCGGAUCUUAAAUAUGCAGAAACUUUUGUUGGUGUGGAUAUUAGUCAUGAAUUAGACAGAGAGCUCAGUGGAUUGUGUAGAGUACUGUAACAGUUAUAGAUGGAAGAAGAGUGAAAACUACAGAAAUAGAUGUUGUAAAAGAAGAGGCAGCAGCAGAAAGCAGAGCCCCAUGCUGUAUUACCUAAGGAAGAGGCCUAGAACCAAUAACUGCAUCAUCUGACCUUGCAUCACAGGUAGCAGAAACAACAGAAGCUGCUGAUGAUACUAUGGACAUUGUAACAUCUUCUGCCAGUGGGGAAGUCCAAAUCAGACCAGAACAGACAGAAUCAACAACAAGUGGUAAAAAAGAUGAUGGUAAAGAGAUAGAUGAUUUGCCUGAUGAUACUGAUACAGUCAAAGGAGUUGAUAGAGAAGGUCUUUCACUCAAAAAUUCACCAAUAUUCACCAUCAAACAGAGGAACUAUUUUCUGCGUAACCACUUCCGUAUUGAGGUCAACCAAGGGCAGAUAACUGUGGUCUUGUGCCUAUUUCUCCACUAAGAGAAGUGUUGUAUAAAGCCUUGAACAGUAAAACCAGUGUGCUACAGGAGAUUGCUCAUGACUGUAUGAAAAAGGCUCAGCUAACUUUGACAGUAAAUCAGCAGCAACAGUGUGUGACACCUGCUGCACGAGAGAAACUCGAGUACCAGGGUAUAGUUCUAACACAUACGCUCAUCAAACAUGAGGACGAAUGGUUGUCAAAUCAUCUGC
Molecule: long non-coding RNA, 1862 nt
Organism: Mercenaria mercenaria
Lineage: Eukaryota; Metazoa; Mollusca; Bivalvia; Venerida; Veneridae
Exons: 14
Source: RefSeq, a predicted model, not a curated record